RNAcentral lists this ribosomal RNA (373 nucleotides) under uncultured organism. Its description in RNAcentral is "bacterial SSU rRNA". It matches the Rfam family "Bacterial small subunit ribosomal RNA", at positions 526 to 896 of the family's 1533-position model. The record is from RNAcentral.
CGUAGGUGGCAAGCGUUGUCCGGAAUUAUUGGGCGUAAAGCGCGCGCAGGUGGUCCUUUAAGUCUGAUGUGAAAGCCCACGGCUCAACCGUGGAAGGUCAUUGGAAACUGGGGGACUUGAGUGCAGAAGAGGAAAGUGGAAUUCCAAGUGUAGCGGUGAAAUGCGUAGAGAUUUGGAGGAACACCAGUGGCGAAGGCGACUUUCUGGUCUGUAACUGACACUGAGGCGCGAAAGCGUGGGGAGCAAACAGGAUUAGAUACCCUGGUAGUCCACGCCGUAAACGAUGAGUGCUAAGUGUUAGGGGGUUUCCGCCCCUUAGUGCUGCAGCUAACGCAUUAAGCACUCCGCCGUGGGGAGUACGGUCGCAAGACUG